RNAcentral lists this ribosomal RNA (450 nucleotides) under uncultured organism. RNAcentral's name for it is "partial 16S ribosomal RNA". It matches the Rfam family "Bacterial small subunit ribosomal RNA", at positions 331 to 797 of the family's 1533-position model. The record is from RNAcentral.
GUACACUCCUGCGGGAGGCAGCAGUGGGGAAUAUUGGACAAUGGGCGCAAGCCUGAUCCAGCCAUGCCGCGUGAGUGAUGAAGGCCCUAGGGUUGUAAAGCUCUUUCACCGGUGAAGAUAAUGACGGUAACCGGAGAAGAAGCCCCGGCUAACUUCGUGCCAGCAGCCGCGGUAAUACGAAGGGGGCUAGCGUUGUUCGGAUUUACUGGGCGUAAAGCGCACGUAGGCGGACUAUUAAGUCAGGGGUGAAAUCCCGGGGCUCAACCCCGGAACUGCCUUUGAUACUGGUAGUCUUGAGUUCGAGAGAGGUGAGUGGAAUUCCGAGUGUAGAGGUGAAAUUCGUAGAUAUUCGGAGGAACACCAGUGGCGAAGGCGGCUCACUGGCUCGAUACUGACGCUGAGGUGCGAAAGCGUGGGGAGCAAACAGGAUUAGAUACCCCUGUAGUCCCA